RNAcentral lists this ribosomal RNA (253 nucleotides) under uncultured bacterium. RNAcentral describes it as "partial 16S ribosomal RNA". It matches the Rfam family "Bacterial small subunit ribosomal RNA", at positions 524 to 776 of the family's 1533-position model. The record is from RNAcentral.
UACGUAGGGGGCGAGCGUUGUCCGGAUUUAUUGGGCGUAAAGAGCGUGUAGGCGGCCAGGUAGGUCUGCUGUGAAAACUCGAGGCUCAACCUCGAGACGUCGGCGGAAACCAUCUGGCUAGAGUCCGGAAGAGGAGAGUGGAAUUCCUGGUGUAGCGGUGAAAUGCGCAGAUAUCAGGAAGAACACCCGUGGCGAAGGCGGCUCUCUGGGACGUGACUGACGCUGAGACGCGAAAGCGUGGGGAGCAAACAGG